RNA transcript from Leptopilina boulardi, 4592 nucleotides. RefSeq lists it as uncharacterized. NCBI's taxonomy places the organism in Eukaryota, Metazoa, Arthropoda, Insecta, Hymenoptera, Figitidae. The record is from RefSeq and is a predicted model, not a curated record. The transcript is spliced from 16 exons.
UCUUUGGAGACAUCUUUGAGGAAAUAUAUAGAUAUGUAUAUUUUUUUUCCGACGAGCUUCAACUUGCCGCAGAGAUGUUAUACAGUCUACAUAAAAUGUAAAUGUACACGUCGAGCACUUAUUUGUGAUAGUCAGUAAAUCCCUGGAGAUGGUGUAAUUAACCGAUUUCCAUUUUAAUGCCACUGGACGUAUAUAUAUAUAUAUCUAUGCUAUUGCAUUAGGAAUGCUGAGAAAACCAUAGAUAAUAGUUGCGCGCAGAACGUCGCCGUUACUAAUCAGCGGUAGUUACACUUGCUUCUAAUUACGAGAGUACAAGAGUCACACGCAGAGAUGGCAGGUUAUUGAAUAAAUCGAAUGAUGAGGUAAUCGAGAAUGAUGGUCCAAAAAGGGAAGUGCCGCGUAAGUGCGCGGCGAUUUGUCCGGAUCAGCGUCAGGUUGUAAGCAGAUUACAUAUCCAGUCCCCAAACGAAGUAGCAAAACCCCCCAAAGGUUUCCCGCGGUGGCAACUGGGAUUUGAUGGAGGUUACUCUAUGAGUUUGCUGUCCAUAUUCUCGAGAGGUCUCUUAUAUAUAUAUAUUUCUAUAUAGAAAGAUACUUUAUAAAGAGGAGAUGCCACUGUAUGAUUGACCGAUCCUUCCUGGUGUCCCAUACACAUUUGCCGCCGCCACCGCAGCUUCUGCAGAGCAAAAGUCAACUUUUAAUACCUCGACACAACGCCACGAGACGAAAAAAAGGAAGAAGAAGUAAAAAAAAGAAAAAGGUUCCUUGCCAUAAUCAUUAUUCGAAUUGGAUCAUAAUAUCAGAGAGAGGUCAUGAAAAUCGAUUCCUGAUGAGUUUCUCGUCGACGCGCAGUUUUUACUUAUUGCGAUUAUUGAUCGCAACUCGGUAUAUGCGUGAAAAAUCUGGAUUGAAGACAAAAAGCAAAGUUUAGAGGAGAUAAAUAGUGACGAGAUAUAAAUAUUGUUUUUCAUUCCUGAGUAAUUCACCAUGGAGAAUCACUUGUUUUGACAGAUCGCAGUCUUUUUAAAUCACAGGAGAUUAAACUGUUUAUAUGGUCAAAAGAAGAAAAAAAAAAAAGUAUGCGCUGCAAAUUACGCGCGCACCCGACGACUCUUUAAUCCAUGAUUUACGAGCGAGUGAAAGUGCGUUGGGGACUUGAAAGUCAGGAAAAACAUUAGAUCCCUGAUUUCGAUCCCCGUGGAGAAUUAAACUAUAUACACCGUUUUGGAGGGUUGUAAAAUCCACCCCCUUGUGACUUGACUCAUGCCGCACAACUAUAAAUGCGUGUGGAUCCAACAUACUUUCUGCACGCCUCGUCUAUCUCCUUAACUCCACAAAACCACCUACAAAUUUUCACAUACCAAGAUGAUUUUACAGUUUACAUAUAUAAACAACUAUAUGUAUAUACAUAUAUAUAUAUAUAUACUUGUAUUAUUAGUUUGAAGGCAAAGGAUAUAUACGCUUUUUGAAAAUUCAUGCUCGAAACCACGGGAGCGCCGAGAGAGAGAGAGAUAAAGAGAGAGAGAAAUUAUUAAUGUAUGCAGAGUUUCUGCCUGCCACGCUCGUCAGUCGAGGAGAGUUGAAAUCUGGCCAGGACCUCCUAAGCAUACAUCUGAUCCUUGGCACUAUGCUGAUCCGUGAAACAUCUUGUUAGGAUAAAAGGAGGCCUUAUACCUCGUGGCUCAAAUAAACCCCCUUCGAUAUAUAAUUUCUUUUCUUUUUUCAAUUCUUUGAUCCAUAUGAAUUUUAAACGGGUCAGAAAAUAUUUGCUGAAUAAUCCGUCGUCGUCGUCUGUGAGAAGAAAUUGACACGGGGUGACUAAUUUGGUAUGUUGAAUUUAAUGGAGGCUCUUUGGAAACAAAACACUUUAUGGAACUCUUUCGAUAGAAAUUAUCAUGCUGAUGGAAUUUCGAAGAGGAAUGCUGAUUCUUCUGAUGGGAUGAAGGCGUUUAUUGAGAUCGCAAUAAGCUUUAUAUAUAUGUGAAGAAGAUGCCUAAUACUAUAAUCAAAUGGUUCGCGAUCAUAAAUAGUCUCGGCCAAUCAGAUAAGGAGUUCAGGAUUUGGCGCACCAAUUAAACAAUCUCUCUAGUUAAAGAAAUAUGAGUGAUGAGAUUAUUAUAUUCUUAGAAAGAGUCUCCAAUGGUUUAUGAGUUCGUCGUCUCAUAUAUAUAUAAAUAUAAAAAAAAACACCUUUCAGUUUUGUGUUCGUAAAAAAAAAAAACACAUUUUUUUUUUCUCUCCAAAGCACACUGUCGAAUUCUUUCCAAAUUAACGAGCUUCUCGCCACCAUAGUAAAUUUUUUCGACACAGCUAUAAUUCAUAUUCACAUAACAACCUUGAAAUAAAUAUUACACUGCUACCGAGAUGAAAAUAAUAAUAAUAAUAUCGAGAUUUACGAUGAAUCUACUUAUAAAUAUAUAAAUAUCGAAUAGAUUAUUAUUUCUUCAUGAAUAUGUGAUUAUGAUUAGGAACAAGAUUUGGAAGUUGGAAAAUUUUAUAAGAAUUUUUUUGCUGAAAAAAAGAGUGAUUAAAAAGUCACGGGAAAAUGUUUUUGAAAAAAAUUUUCUAAGAAUUUGUCUACACAUAUAUAUAUAAAUAUUGGCGAAGGAGAAAUUCCAGCAGGUGUCCCUCCUCAUCUUGAAAUGAAAAGAUAAAAAUCUUUUUUGAGGCAGCAUUUAUCUUGUUGAAAUCAAGCCACACCCGUUUGUCCACGAAUCAGUCAAACUGAAGGGAUGACCCUGUGUCAUGUGAGAAAGGAGACGAUUAAUCAAAUCUACAAGAUUUUAUAAUACCAAAGUCGUCGAUUGCGAUAGUAGCGCGAUAUUGCUGAUCGAUUCUACAGUUGACGUGGGAAUGACUGAGAAUGAUCCGAAUUCGAUUUCAUAUGCUUUUAUUUCCAAUACAACCUGCAAGAGGCGACUGGUGCGCUAUUCACGUGAAUAUAUAAUCAAAAUCUAAUUUUUGAUCGAUCAAAAAAUUGAUUAUUUAGCUGAAUUCUCACAGGAUAUGAGGAGAUGAACGAAACGAGAGGGGAGUGUGCGCGGAGCUUAUAACAAAUUUAAGCUGACAUACACGGUCUCUCUACGGAUGUCCAUUUCGAAAAUCAAUUUGCGCGAGAGUUACGAGUACGUUUUAACGUUGAAAAGCAGCGGCGAGCCUCAGCGCGUAUAAUACGCAAAAGGAGAUUAACCCGUGAAAUAAAUUCCAGGUGCUUUAAAAAAAAAAAAAAAAGAAUUUCUCAAAUUUACUCUCUCAAGGAAAUUUACAUAGAGUUUACGAGAAUGAUGACUAUGGAUUUUGGAGUUUUAAAUGUCUGCGGAUUAUCGUGGAAAAAUUAUGAUCCGAAUGGCGCUAUAUUCGAUAAAAGAGACGAAAAUUUUGCUGAAGAGAAAAAAGAAAUAUAUAAUAUAUAUUUCGAAGACUAAUCCAUUGCGAGUGAUUCGUUGCAAGUCAAAAGACAAGUCAAACGAAUUCCUGCUGGGCGCAGAUCAAAAGGGACCCCAUAUAACGACCGUGCGAUAAAUGAUCGUAUUAAACGCUAAACAUCUUAUACAUAUAUAUAUAUAAAUGCUUCAAGAAGAGGAAAGACAAGAUUCCAUCAAUCUUCAGCAAGUGCCGAUUAUUUCAAUUUGAAAAGUCAAUUUGUCGGUGGCCGCACGCGAUUAGGAAGCAGUAAAUCUGUAUUUUCUCUCUCUCUCUCUUUCUAAAGAGAUUGUUCUCUUUGCAAAAGGGCGCCAUGUGACGUUCAGUAGCGCUUUUAUAUGGGUCAUUUUAAAGGAGGGGAAAAGAUGAAGAGAGGAAGGUUUUGAUUCAAAUUGUGGAGCAAUUUCUCGACGGUAACGUGAGGAAGAUUUGAAGUAUAUUCUCAUCGAAGAUCGAAAAGUCAACUCUCUUACUCACCGCUGCGUACAUAUAUAAAAACCCAAUAUCGUGACUUGCAUCUGCAGCUAAAAUCAGUUUCGCCUGUUUCAUUAAGGACAAAAUGUUACGAUUCACGCAAUUUAAAAAAAGGUUGCCUUUGCGUUGAGAGACAAAAGAAAAAAAAAAUGUGUGAUUUUUGGUCGCGUGAUCUUGGAGAGAAAAAGAGAGAGAGAGAGAGAGGAACACCCGUAACCAGGAGAAAGGAUCAUCACCGCAGGCGACUAAAAUCUUCUGCAGGUCGAUGGUAUCUGCAGCCAACCGACACAUAUAUCGCACCAUUAUUCAAAGUUGGAUUGUAUAAACACACAUGAUGGUGGUGUGAUCUGGGCGAGUGCGCGGCCGCCCAUCGUGCGUGGGAUAUACCGUCUAAAAAUGAGUUGUGUCAACGUGUGACCGACCCCCCGCGCCGACGUCUCCAGGUGGGCCCCACAGAUGGAAAUUGCGUCGAUUCGAGAUGAUUAGCGAUAAUCCAAUGGAAUGAAGCACGUCUUUGGAUGUUUCGUGACUGCCGAGGAUGCCAUGAAUUUUCUCCUAUCUUUGUCUUGCAUUGGACCAUUUGAUAUACGUGGACUGUGAUUUUGAUUUAUGAAGGUGCAACUGUUGUUCGUCGACGUUUCUUUUUCUUUUGCUGUUCUUCCGCUGCACUAUCAAAACUUUCAGCAGCUACAAGA